GAUGAAGCGGCUUCAUGCUAGCUUUACACGCAAGGAUGGACAGCUACGUUUUAUUCAAAGGAGCCAAACGAGUGACCCUUACGGAUGACAACAUGACAACCGAAAUCUUCAGGUAUGCUCAUUAUUUCUAAAAUAAGCCAUAUGUUCCUCGUCAAGUUCCACAUGCUCGUGUUAUUUUACAGGCUAAUUAGCCUCACUAGCUAACUGUGUGGUAAAGCCCUCCUCUCUCUCCACGUUUAUAAAGGUUCAUGGCCUGAGCCUUUACAUUACUGAUGACAGCAACGCGGCCGUGUUUCCUACAAUCAGCAUUUCAGAUCUAGUCGUGAGGGGGCAUUAUUGAAGUGCAUGGGGACAGCAUCUGCGUGGAGAACUCGACAGGUGCGCCCCCGGGAACUCACACCCUAGCCGCUUUUUUGUUCCACCGCCUACCAAGC
This is a non-coding RNA of Xyrichtys novacula (pearly razorfish), 434 nucleotides long. Lineage: Eukaryota; Metazoa; Chordata; Actinopteri; Labriformes; Labridae. The record is from the annotation of a GenBank genome assembly.